RNAcentral lists this ribosomal RNA (505 nucleotides) under uncultured bacterium. RNAcentral describes it as "partial 16S ribosomal RNA". It matches the Rfam family "Bacterial small subunit ribosomal RNA", at positions 28 to 507 of the family's 1533-position model. The record is from RNAcentral.
GACGAACGCUGGCGGCGUGCCUAAUACAUGCAAGUAGAACACACAGUUUAUACCGUAGCUUGCUACACCAUAGACUGUGAGUUGCGAACGGGUGAGUAACGCGUAGGUAACCUGCCUGGUAGCGGGGGAUAACUAUUGGAAACGAUAGCUAAUACCGCAUAAUAUUGAUUAUUGCAUGAUAAUUGAUUGAAAGAUGCUAUUGCAUCACUACCAGAUGGACCUGCGUUGUAUUAGCUAGUAGGUGAGGUAACGGCUCACCUAGGCGACGAUACAUAGCCGACCUGAGAGGGUGAUCGGCCACACUGGGACUGAGACACGGCCCAGACUCCUACGGGAGGCAGCAGUAGGGAAUCUUCGGCAAUGGACGAAAGUCUGACCGAGCAACGCCGCGUGAGUGAAGAAGGUUUUCGGAUCGUAAAGCUCUGUUGUAAGAGAAGAACGGGUGUGAGAGUGGAAAGUUCACACUGUGACGGUAUCUUACCAGAAAGGGACGGCUAACUACGUG